RNAcentral lists this ribosomal RNA (483 nucleotides) under uncultured Flavobacteriaceae bacterium. Its description in RNAcentral is "bacterial SSU rRNA". It matches the Rfam family "Bacterial small subunit ribosomal RNA", at positions 28 to 505 of the family's 1533-position model. Lineage: Bacteria; Pseudomonadati; Bacteroidota; Flavobacteriia; Flavobacteriales; Flavobacteriaceae. The record is from RNAcentral.
GAUGAACGCUAGCGGCAGGCCUAACACAUGCAAGUCGAACGGUAACAUAGAUUGCUUGCAAUCUGAUGACGAGUGGCGCACGGGUGCGUAACGCGUAUAGAACCUACCCUUAAACGGGGGAUAGCCUUUGGAAACGAAGAUUAAUACCCCAUAGUAUUUUUUAGUGGCAUCAUUAGAGAAUUAAAGAAUUUCGUUUAAGGAUGGCUCUGCGUCCCAUUAGCUAGAUGGUAAGGUAACGGCUUACCAUGGCUACGAUGGGUAGGGGCCCUGAGAGGGGGAUCCCCCACACUGGUACUGAGACACGGACCAGACUCCUACGGGAGGCAGCAGUGAGGAAUAUUGGACAAUGGUGGGAACACUGAUCCAGCCAUGCCGCGUGCAGGAAGACUGCCCUAUGGGUUGUAAACUGCUUUUAUACAGGAAGAACACCAUCUACGUGUAGAUGUAUGACGGUACUGUAAGAAUAAGGACCGGCUAACUCCG